This 449-nucleotide ribosomal RNA is filed under the name uncultured organism. RNAcentral's name for it is "partial 16S ribosomal RNA". It matches the Rfam family "Bacterial small subunit ribosomal RNA", at positions 332 to 797 of the family's 1533-position model. The record is from RNAcentral.
UACACUCCUACGGGAGGCAGCAGUGGGGAAUAUUGGACAAUGGGCGCAAGCCUGAUCCAGCCAUGCCGCGUGAGUGAUGAAGGCCCUAGGGUUGUAAAGCUCUUUCACCGGUGAAGAUAAUGACGGUAACCGGAGAAGAAGCCCCGGCUAACUUCGUGCCAGCAGCCGCGGUAAUACGAAGGGGGCUAGCGUUGUUCGGAUUUACUGGGCGUAAAGCGCACGUAGGCGGACUAUUAAGUCAGGGGUGAAAUCCCGGGGCUCAACCCCGGAACUGCCUUUGAUACUGGUAGUCUUGAGUUCGAGAGAGGUGAGUGGAAUUCCGAGUGUAGAGGUGAAAUUCGUAGAUAUUCGGAGGAACACCAGUGGCGAAGGCGGCUCACUGGCUCGAUACUGACGCUGAGGUGCGAAAGCGUGGGGAGCAAACAGGAUUAGAAACCCUUGUAGUCCCA